UCUGCGGAAGGAUCAUUACAGAGAAAUUGCCCUUUCAGGGUAUAUCUCCACCCUCUGUUUACAAUACUAUUGUUGCUUUGGUAGGCCCGUUUUAAUACCGCCGGCCUUAUUGCUGGUCAGCGUCUGCCAAAGAAAACUUUUAAUACUCUUUGUAAUAGUUUGUCAGAGUCUUAUUUAAAAAGUUUAAAACUUUCAACAACGGAUCUCUUGGUUCUGGCAUCGAUGAAGAACGCAGCGAAAUGCGAUAAGUAAUGUGAAUUGCAGAAUUCAGUGAAUCAUCGAAUCUUUGAACGCACAUUGCACCUUCUGGUAUUCCGGGAGGUAUGCCUGUUCGAGCGUCAUUGCAACCAACAAGCUUAAAGCUUGGUAUUGGAUGUCAUUAAUCAGUGCAUCUUAAAAUUAGUGGCAGUGCCAUUCAGCUUCAAGCGUAGUAAAUAUCUCGCUUCUGGAGUUUGCAUGUUACACUUCCCAGAACCCCUAUAAUUAUCAAGGUUUGACCUCGGAUCAGGUAGGGAUACCCGCUGAACUUAAGCAUAUCAAUAAGCGGAGGA
This 551-nucleotide ribosomal RNA is filed under the name uncultured Helotiales. RNAcentral describes it as "eukaryotic LSU rRNA". The stretch from base 188 to 341 matches the Rfam family "5.8S ribosomal RNA". The record is from RNAcentral. Lineage: Eukaryota; Fungi; Ascomycota; Leotiomycetes; Helotiales.